ACACUCAGACUUCACAAGUACUUGACUGUACUCAAAAAUCUUCCAUCAUCGAAUUAAAAAUUUGGAUAGUUUGGCACCAAAGCACAUUGAGUUACUUGCAAGUCACCAAGGUAGCCUCAGGUCAGAGGGACACAUAUACCCAUAUCCCAUCAGAGCAACCCUUGACAGUAGAGUGCUUCGAAAGUGGUCACGCUUAGUGAAAUGUACUCCUAUAAAUCAUCCAUAUGCCAUUCCCGUGUCACCACAUGUCUUGGUUAAGAGAACAACCAACUAAUAUGGUACACAACAAUCUACACUCG
RNAcentral lists this long non-coding RNA (299 nucleotides) under Elaeis guineensis (African oil palm). Its description in RNAcentral is "long non-coding RNA (EGUI_LNC058430)". Lineage: Eukaryota; Viridiplantae; Streptophyta; Magnoliopsida; Arecales; Arecaceae. The record is from RNAcentral.